GGUAGAGGACUUACUCUUCGGAGUGAGAGCGUACACAGGUGCUGCAUGGCUGUCGUCAGCUCGUGUCGUGAGAUGUUGGGUAAGUCCCGCAACGAGCGCAACCCUGCAUUCAGUUGCCAUCGGUAAGGCCGGGCACUCUGGAUGGACUGCCGGCGACAAGCCGGAGGAAGGUGGGGACGACGUCAAGUCAUCAUGGCCCUUAUGUCCAGGGCGACACACGUGCUACAAUGGCCGGCACAACGGGAAGCGAAGGGGCGACCCUGAGCGGAUCCCACAAAAGCCGGUCUCAGUUCGGAUUGCAGUCUGCAACUCGACUGCAUGAAGUUGGAAUCGCUAGUAAUCGUGGAUCAGCCAAGCCGCGGUGAAUACGUUCCCGGGCCUU
This 382-nucleotide ribosomal RNA is filed under the name uncultured Thermovirga sp. RNAcentral describes it as "bacterial SSU rRNA". It matches the Rfam family "Bacterial small subunit ribosomal RNA", at positions 1003 to 1382 of the family's 1533-position model. The record is from RNAcentral. Lineage: Bacteria; Thermotogati; Synergistota; Synergistia; Synergistales; Thermovirgaceae.